AGUGAACGCUGGCGGUAGGCCUAACACAUGCAAGUCGAACGGCAGCACAGUAAUAGCUUGCUCUUACGGGUGGCGAGUGGCGGACGGGUGAGGAAUACAUCGGAAUCUACUUUUUCGUGGGGGAUAACGUAGGGAAACUUACGCUAAUACCGCAUACGACCUACGGGUGAAAGCAGGGGAUCUUCGGACCUUGCGUGAUUGAAUGAGCCGAUGUCGGAUUAGCUAGUUGGCGGGGUAAAGGCCCACCAAGGCGACGAUCCGUAGCUGGUCUGAGAGGAUGAUCAGCCACACUGGAACUGAGACACGGUCCAGACUCCUACGGGAGGCAGCAGUGGGGAAUAUUGGACAAUGGGCGCAAGCCUGAUCCAGCCAUACCGCGUGGGUGAAGAAGGCCUUCGGGUUGUAAAGCCCUUUUGGUGGGAAAGAAAAGCAGCAGGUUAAUACCCCGCUGUUCUGACGGUACCAAAAGAAUAAGCACCGGCUAACUUCGUG
RNAcentral lists this ribosomal RNA (492 nucleotides) under uncultured bacterium. RNAcentral describes it as "partial 16S ribosomal RNA". It matches the Rfam family "Bacterial small subunit ribosomal RNA", at positions 29 to 507 of the family's 1533-position model. The record is from RNAcentral.